This 1608-nucleotide small RNA is filed under the name Pan troglodytes (chimpanzee). Its description in RNAcentral is "processed transcript". Lineage: Eukaryota; Metazoa; Chordata; Mammalia; Primates; Hominidae. The record is from RNAcentral.
CGGGGAUCCUGGGGAGCUGUGGCUCAGACCUCUGGUUUCUGCGCCUCCUCACUCUCCAAACCCAACCUCGAGGUUCCCCCGCCGCUGCGCACCCUGGGAAGCCCCUUCUCACCAGGAGCUCUCACCCCAAUAUCAUUCUCUCCCUCCUCCUCCAACUCCUCCGAGCCCAGGUCCGACAUAGUCUCGCCCCAGCCUGGAUCACAGCCGCAGCGCCUCUAGCAGGCUCUGCUGACCCUUUGGGAUUCGCGGCUAGCUGUGAUGUGUCCGCCAAGAUCUCUUCUCUUGUCUGUAAACAACUUCACUCUCAAGGAGGCAGCUCUGGCCUCUCAGCAGGUGCGGCCUACACUGAUGUCCGUCCGGGUUUUACAUCCUUACCCGACCUCGACAUGAGUCCCAGCCCCCUCGGGCCUCUGACUCUCAGGUGUCCCCUACGAUCACCUGUCCUCUCCUCUCGCUCCUGGCUCCCCUCCACUGUCACACACCCACACAAUCACAGACGCACACGCAUGUACACGUGCAGGCUUGGAAAUCUGCUUUACCUGACGCACUCCGCCUGCCGAAGGCCCCUCACGAUCUCCCGUUUCCUCUGCCAUCAUCCCAGUCUGCAAAGCUGUGUUAUUUGUUGUUGCUGCAGGAGCUGGGGAGGAGUGACUGAAUAACUAUAGGAUUUGGUCUUGAUGGGAGAAUCCCAGAAGCCAAAUCCACGCGGUGAAUAAGCUGUUGAUCUUCCAGAGCACACAUCCCCUAGAGAUUCUUCCCAAUGCUAAUAUGAAAGGUUACAACCAUAACCCAUCAUCAGGCCCAAAUAUAUUACUUACUGAAUAAAUACACAAGUUACAACAACACACAAGAUUCCAAAAUUAUGUCGUUUUUUAGAUGCAAAGAUAAAAAUGUUGUAAACACCAAAAUUUAACAGCUUUUCUUAUGGGGAAAAGUGGGGAGUUAGGGAUAACAGAUGAUUAUUAUUUUCUUCUCUACAUAUUGGCAGUUACCCAGUUACUACAAUUAAGCAUGUCCUAUUUUUAUAAUAAAAUGCCGGAAGCAUUUUAAAUGUUAGAAAUCUAGAAUGGUAACAUAAGUAUAUGCAAAUAAAUACUCAUUUUUUACAUUUAAAAUGUCAGAAAUUUAGCUUUCAAAUUUGUCCUAACAAUGACAGUAACCAGUGUUUACUAAGUUCUGACAGUGUGUGUGGGCACUGUUUUAAGAAUUUUAUAUGAGUUAUCUUAUUAAAUCCUCACUAUCAUUCCUCCAUUGAACAUCUAAGGAAAGGGAGUUAUAGGGGGGUAUAAACUAAAAAUAACCUCCUAAGCCCCACCACAGCCAACUGAAUGGACCCCCUCUUGGCCAAGAGGGCCCCAGAAACCUUAAAAACUGAGUUCUCAGCCAUGAUGGGAAGGGAGGUCAAACAUGCCUCACUAAUACCCUUUUGCAGUUUAGACACAACAACUAACAAGCAUUAAUGUUAAAAUAGAGAUCAUAAGACUGACAGAAUGGACGCUGUGGCAGUAAGAUACCAACUUAUAAACAGCACCUAAGGCCAUGCCAGGCAUGAGUUAAGUCAUGCAUCCCUACACUUAAAAGAAUAAACUAUAUUUUAACUACCUGGAG